Long non-coding RNA from Homo sapiens (human), 844 nucleotides. Ensembl annotates it as leucine decarboxylase 1, pseudogene. Its record names the gene LDC1P. The record is from Ensembl. NCBI's taxonomy places the organism in Eukaryota, Metazoa, Chordata, Mammalia, Primates, Hominidae.
AUGUCACAUGCACUGGCUCUGCUAGCUUCCACCUGGGCUCCAACUGCCAGACCCCCCCAGAGCUUCACACAAGCUAUCGCUGACUGCCGGUGCAUGUUGGAAAUGGGCCACAGGGCUGGGCAUGAUAUGAGCUGCCUGGACAUUGGAGGGGGCUUCCCCGGAAUGGAGGGCUCCGGGCCCAAGUUUGAGGAGUUGGCGAGAGUGAUCAGUGCUGCCCUGGCCCAGGACCUCCCUGAGGAGCGUGGUGUCAAGGUCAUCGCAGAGCCUGGCUGCUUCUAUGUGGAGUCUGUCUGCAUGGCCGCUGUCAACAUCAUUGCCAAGAGGGCUGUGCUGGAGCCCGGAGGCAGCCGGAAGCUGGUGUAUUAUCUCAAAGAUGGCCACUAUGGCUCCUUCCGCCUCUGCUACCGAGAGCCUGUCCCAAGGGUUCCCAUCGUGGUGAAGGUAAGGGGGCCACUCCAGCCCCGAGUCUAGUCCCUUACCUUGAGGUGCCUUGUGCCUCCCCUACUGGGAACAGUGGCUGUGCUGGACCCCAGAGGCAGGUCCUGGCCUGCUGCUUAGAACACAUGUGGACACGUACAUGAUGUGUGCUCACAGAUCAGAGCGUGUGCAGCAGCUGGAUAUGUAGGCCUCCUCAGGCAAAGGGGCGAUCACCAGAACACAAAGGCGUGGGUUGUUUUCCAAAAUAUUGAAGUUCUUCUCCCUGGUGGCUUAAGAGCCAUUCCUUCUUCCUGGUGGUUAAAGAGCUAUUCCCCCGAGUCCACCAGGGGCCUCCCUGCCGACACUCUUGCUGCUCAGUCCCUCCCACGAUCUGGCAACAAAGCUUCAAUACCUGACCCUGUAGGGC